Molecule: ribosomal RNA, 485 nt
Filed under: uncultured bacterium
Lineage: Bacteria
Description: bacterial SSU rRNA
Rfam family: Bacterial small subunit ribosomal RNA
Source: RNAcentral
GAUGAACGCUAGCGACAGGCUUAACACAUGCAAGUCGAGGGGCAGCGAGGGCGUAGCAAUACGCCUGUCGGCGACCGGCGCACUGGUGAGUAACACGUAUGCGACCUGCCCCCUACAGGGGUAUAACCCGUAGAAAUGCGGACUAAUCCCCCAUAGUCCCGCGGGCUGCAUGGCCUGCGGGGGAAAGGGUUUCCGGUAGGGGAUGGGCAUGCGGCGCAUUAGCUAGUUGGCGGGGCAACGGCCCACCAAGGCGACGAUGCGUAGGGGUUCUGAGAGGAAGGUCCCCCACACUGGUACUGAGACACGGACCAGACUCCUACGGGAGGCAGCAGUGAGGAAUAUUGGUCAAUGGGCGCAGGCCUGAACCAGCCAAGUCGCGUGAGGGAUGACGGUCCUACGGAUUGUAAACCUCUUUGUCGGGGAGUAACGUGCGGGACGGGUCCCGUAUUGAGAGUACCCGAGGAAAAGCAUCGGCUAACUCCGUG